GGAAGCUGGGCCAUAUUUCCCCCGUGGCCUUCAGUGCCCUCUGCCCACCCCACAAGUUACACAUGGUCCAGGAUGGGAAGGAGCUCUGCUGCCGUGCAGCCUGCCUGUGGAUGGCCCCUGCACUGUCCCCUGCAUACAUUAUGGGAAGGUGGAUGACAAACUCACUCAAAGCAUACCUUUCUGUAUCCUGGAGGCAAGGAAUUCUCUUCUCAGUGGCAAACAUGGGAGAACAGAGCAGAGAAGAAAUACUUCCUAAUUUCACUCCUUGACAAUCGUGUGGCAGAGAAGAGCCCGUGAGGGUUGGGGACCACAGCGGUGCUAUAAUUUGCCAUCUAUUGUCUCAAUGAUGAGAUUUAUCCACUCACUGAUGAAUCAAAUAUUGUUUUCAACAAGCCAGCUAUCUCACCCAACAGUGACAACUUGCUUUCAAGAACAAUAUUCCUCAUAUGAAAUUAAUGCUCCUCCUUAAAGCAUGAUUGAUUUCUGUGGUUUUUAUAUUCCAAUGCAUUUGUUUUUAUGUUUAUGUGAGGGUUAUAAACAUUCAGGCUUUAUGUCUACUUUGUGUUUGGACUCUUUAACUACCUAAUAAAAAUAAUUUAAAGCAA
Molecule: long non-coding RNA, 605 nt
Organism: Marmota monax (woodchuck)
Lineage: Eukaryota; Metazoa; Chordata; Mammalia; Rodentia; Sciuridae
Exons: 2
Source: RefSeq, a predicted model, not a curated record